UUGUAACUAAAGUGGUUGCAAUUUUUUUAGCUACAAUGUCGGCCAGUUUUGGUCAAGACUAUAAUCCAGAAGAUUUUUUUGAAAUAUAUUUGGACUUCCCCGAGGACACCACAAAUAUUACCAAUAUGUAUUUGAGUUGUCAGUGAGUAGACACCUCCAAAGAGAUGAUCCCGAAGAGUUUGUUGCGAAACCUUUAAAUAAUUGUUUGUAAACUUGUUAUUAAUAAAUUUGAGCAUGUA
Long non-coding RNA from Tribolium madens (black flour beetle), 239 nucleotides. RefSeq lists it as uncharacterized. Lineage: Eukaryota; Metazoa; Arthropoda; Insecta; Coleoptera; Tenebrionidae. The record is from RefSeq and is a predicted model, not a curated record. The transcript has 2 exons.